This 71-nucleotide small nucleolar RNA is filed under the name Dichanthelium oligosanthes. RNAcentral's name for it is "Small nucleolar RNA snoR60". It matches the Rfam family "Small nucleolar RNA snoR60". Rfam says of the family: snoR60 is a member of the C/D class of snoRNA which contain the C (UGAUGA) and D (CUGA) box motifs. Most of the members of the box C/D family function in directing site-specific 2'-O-methylation of substrate RNAs. Lineage: Eukaryota; Viridiplantae; Streptophyta; Magnoliopsida; Poales; Poaceae. The record is from Rfam by way of RNAcentral.
GAGCUGAUGGGCAUACUCGGAUUCCCCUUCAGGACAUCAAAUGGAUGAUGCAAGCUCGAUGUCCUAAGGCC